AUACUCUCCAGAGUACAGCACCCGAGGCUCGUUAACCUCAUAGGCUUCUGCGUAGACUCGAAAGGCCGGAAAUUACUAGUUGUGGAGUACAUGCCAAAUGGUUCUUUAUACAGUCUUUUACACUAUAGCUCCAGGCCGCCCGGUUGGACCAGGCGUGUCCGGUUCGCUUUGCAAAUAGCCAAGGCGGUUCAAGCUUUGCACUUCGCGAAUCCGCCUGUGAUUCACAGAGACAUAAAAUCAUCAAAUGUGUUGAUCGACGAGAACUGGAA
This 269-nucleotide unclassified non-coding RNA is filed under the name Hevea brasiliensis (rubber tree). The record is from RNAcentral. Lineage: Eukaryota; Viridiplantae; Streptophyta; Magnoliopsida; Malpighiales; Euphorbiaceae.